GUUGAAAAAUGUGUUUUCCACUCUUGCAGGUAUCAUUAAGGGGAGCACUGUGUUUAUGGUACCUUUCUGUACUGAUUGGACCAUCUCUAUUGACACAGGUUUCUCAUGUUACCAGGUGAUAACACUUCAUUAGUUCGACGGCUUCCAUUGUUCUGUCCUUCAUUAGAACACCUAUAAAUGUGAGCAGUGAGUAAAUCCUCAGUAUCUUCAUUCAGAAAGAAAAUUUAUAGUAAGUUGUCAUUAAGUGCAUUUGGAAUGUGAAGGGCAAGUAUUUUUUGUAACUGUCAGCUACCCAAAAGUAUGGAUACCAACAUUAAGUUCUGGUCACAGAGAGA
Molecule: long non-coding RNA, 335 nt
Filed under: Anser brachyrhynchus (Pink-footed goose)
Lineage: Eukaryota; Metazoa; Chordata; Aves; Anseriformes; Anatidae
Description: lncRNA (ENSABRG00000010251.1)
Source: RNAcentral